Molecule: ribosomal RNA, 840 nt
Filed under: Rhodococcus sp. IM-43760
Lineage: Bacteria; Bacillati; Actinomycetota; Actinomycetes; Mycobacteriales; Nocardiaceae
Description: bacterial SSU rRNA
Rfam family: Bacterial small subunit ribosomal RNA
Source: RNAcentral
GGCGGCGUGCUUAACACAUGCAAGUCGAACGAUGAAGCCCAGCUUGCUGGGUGGAUUAGUGGCGAACGGGUGAGUAACACGUGGGUGAUCUGCCCUGCACUUCGGGAUAAGCCUGGGAAACUGGGUCUAAUACCGGAUAGGACCUCGGGAUGCAUGUUCCGGGGUGGAAAGGUUUUCCGGUGCAGGAUGGGCCCGCGGCCUAUCAGCUUGUUGGUGGGGUAACGGCCCACCAAGGCGACGACGGGUAGCCGGCCUGAGAGGGCGACCGGCCACACUGGGACUGAGACACGGCCCAGACUCCUACGGGAGGCAGCAGUGGGGAAUAUUGCACAAUGGGCGAAAGCCUGAUGCAGCGACGCCGCGUGAGGGAUGACGGCCUUCGGGUUGUAAACCUCUUUCGACAGGGACGAAGCGCAAGUGACGGUACCUGUAGAAGAAGCACCGGCCAAUUACGUGCCAGCAGCCGCGGUAAUACGUAGGGUGCGAGCGUUGUCCGGAAUUACUGGGCGUAAAGAGCCUGUAGGCGGUUUGUCGCGUCGUCUGUGAAAACUCACAGCUCAACUGUGAGCUUGCAGGCGAUACGGGCAGACUUGAGUACUGCAGGGGAGACUGGAAUUCCUGGUGUAGCGGUGAAAUGCGCAGAUAUCAGGAGGAACACCGGUGGCGAAGGCGGGUCUCUGGGCAGUAACUGACGCUGAGAAGCGAAAGCGUGGGUAGCGAACAGGAUUAGAUACCCUGGUAGUCCACGCCGUAAACGGUGGGCGCUAGGUGUGGGUUUCCUUCCACGGGAUCCGUGCCGUAGCUAACGCAUUAAGCGCCCCGCCUGGGGAGUACGGCCGC